GGGGAGGUGGCUCAGUCGGUAGAGUGUUUGCCUACCAUACAAAAAACUCUGGGUUCAAAUUCCAGCCCCUCGU
Molecule: transfer RNA, 73 nt
Filed under: Mesocricetus auratus (golden hamster)
Lineage: Eukaryota; Metazoa; Chordata; Mammalia; Rodentia; Cricetidae
Rfam family: tRNA
About the family: Transfer RNA (tRNA) molecules are approximately 80 nucleotides in length. Their secondary structure includes four short double-helical elements and three loops (D, anti-codon, and T loops).
Source: Rfam by way of RNAcentral